GACGUAGGGCGCGAGCGUUGUCCGGAUUUAUUGGGCGUAAAGAGCUCGUAGGCGGUUUGUUGCGUCGGCUGUGAAAUCCCGAGGCUCAACCUCGGGUCUGCAGUCGAUACGAGCAAACUAGAGUGUUGCAGGGGAGACUGGAAUUCCUGGUGUAGCGGUGAAAUGCGCAGAUAUCAGGAGGAACACCGGUGGCGAAGGCGGGUCUCUGGGCAACAACUGACGCUGAGGAGCGAAAGCGUGGGGAGCGAACAGG
RNAcentral lists this ribosomal RNA (253 nucleotides) under uncultured bacterium. Its description in RNAcentral is "partial 16S ribosomal RNA". It matches the Rfam family "Bacterial small subunit ribosomal RNA", at positions 524 to 776 of the family's 1533-position model. The record is from RNAcentral.